RNAcentral lists this transfer RNA (93 nucleotides) under Symbiobacterium thermophilum IAM 14863. Its description in RNAcentral is "tRNA-Ser". It matches the Rfam family "tRNA". From Rfam's summary of the family: Transfer RNA (tRNA) molecules are approximately 80 nucleotides in length. Their secondary structure includes four short double-helical elements and three loops (D, anti-codon, and T loops). Lineage: Bacteria; Bacillati; Bacillota; Clostridia; Eubacteriales; Symbiobacteriaceae. The record is from RNAcentral.
GGAGGGGUGUCCGAGUGGUUUAAGGUGCCGCUCUCGAAAAGCGGUGUGGCUUAACGGCCACCGUGGGUUCGAAUCCCACCCCCUCCGCCAAUA